UACGAAGGGGGCGAGCGUUGUUCGGAUUUAUUGGGCGUAAAGGGCGCGCAGGCGGCUUGUUUUGUCAGGCGUGAAAGCCCCGGGCUUAACCUGGGAACUGCGUUUGAUACGGACGGGCUAGAGUUCGGGAGAGGAGAGUGGAAUUCCCAGUGUAGAGGUGAAAUUCGCAGAUAUUCGGAGGAACACCAGUGGCGAAGGCGGCCAACUGGAUCGGUAUUGACGCUCAUGUACGAAAGCGUGGGGAUCAAACAGG
RNAcentral lists this ribosomal RNA (253 nucleotides) under uncultured bacterium. Its description in RNAcentral is "partial 16S ribosomal RNA". It matches the Rfam family "Bacterial small subunit ribosomal RNA", at positions 524 to 776 of the family's 1533-position model. The record is from RNAcentral.